CUGAGCUAGGAAAAAACGGCUACUCGUACUUUUCCAGAAGAAAUCGCCAAGAUUCUCCUGAUGGUUUCAAAAUGUAUUUUUUUUAAGUAUUUAGGAAUGUGUUCCGCUAUUCAGUGACUCUCCACCAGGGGGCAGUUGGCAGCGUGGAAGUCCAUGAAGUUCAAAAUCCCAGGAAUUCUGCACAUUUUUACCUCGAGAUGUUUUUCUCAAGAUAAAGUUUCUACAUCUGGUUUUAAAGUAGCUAUUUCAGGGCCACCUUUGACGUGUUGCUAAAAAGGUUUCUUUGGACGUGUUGGAGGAACUGAGCUCUACAGAACCAAUGGGGAGCCGCUUCAGCCACCACCACUGCGUAGCCCCCACCUGGAUGAUGCGACAGCAGCCGUUCUGUGGCAGUACAUUCACCACACUGUAGCUAAGGUGGUCAAGAGGCAGGAAUUCACCAAUUAGAUAUAGGGAGUGAUUAAGAGGCCAGAUCUGAUAGGGCCACAGUGGGCAAUUUAGCCAGGACAUCAGGGUUAGUCUUUGAAAAGACGCCCAGGGGUCUUUUAUGACCUCAGAGAGUCGGGAUCUCAGUUAUAUGUCUCAUCCGAAGAUUUUUACAGCUCAGUGUCCCCGUCACUGCACUGGGGCAUUGGGAUCCACACUGACCACAGGAUGAGCUCCCCCUGCUGGCCAUAGUGUCCCUGUCGCUGCACUGGGACACGGGGAUCCAGACAGACCACAGCAUGGACUAACCUGUAGGCCACACCAAGACCUCUUCCAACCCAGCUUUCUAGUUGGUCUCCCAUCCGAGAACUGGUCAGGCCCAAACCCACUGACCUUGAGAAGGAUUACUUAGUCUGAACUGCAGGUGGUUUGAUAUAUAUCAGUGGUGGUGAACCUGCUCCAUGGACGGCCAGUGUGGGUGCAGGUCUUCGGGAUGACCUCACCAUCAGCCAAUAACAGUGGGUCCUCAGGACUUGACCUGAGAACCUCUGCUUUGUUAUUGGCUGAUUGUGAGGCCAUCCCAAAAACCCGCAUCCACAUUGGCUCUCCUUGGAUCGGGUUCCCCAUCCCUGGUAUAUAUGUAGCUAUAUAAAGUUACAACACUCUACUGGAUAAGUGGCUGUAAUUUGAAUGGAUGUAGGGGCAUAACUUGAAAUUCUGACCCUCCUGACAGAAUUUCACCUGGUCUCCCCUCCCCCUGCCCAAUUUUAGGUGUAAUUUUAUGUAUUCAAGGGCCACUGUAAGGGACUGGGCCCCCUGAAUCCGCAUAUCCAAGUGACGGCUGAAACUCCCAGAUCAGCAGAGGGGAAUGCAGGAGAUACAGGGAAAUGCUAGUGGAGAUACAUGUGGCAUGGGACCGUGGAGAGGUGGAGGGUAGCAGAUGGGGGUGUGUGAAACUGACGUGCAGAAGCUGCCGGAAUGGAAUGACAACAAAGCAGCAAUCUGACGAGCCCUCGUCCCCGCUUUGCGGGCCGUGCCUCACAGAUUUGGCCGCUGCUUGGGAAAAACAAUCAGAGUGCCACACCCCCCGAAGAGACGCUGGCUAAUUUUUCCGCGCACCAUUAGCCGUGCGCUAUUCACUGGUAGGUGGCCAGCGGGGGCCGAGCCCUCUCCCCUCCCCCUCCCCCUUCUGUUUUGUUUUUAAUUCAGCCAAAGGAGCGGUUUGGCCACCAGGUCCAUUCAGCCAGCAAACAGCCUCCUUUUGUCACACUGACCACGGGGCCUGUCGUGGUGACCACAGGGUCGGCCCGUCCACUGAAAAAAAGAGCAAAAUCAUUAUCUUAGGCUUCAACUAUUUUCUGCCUCCACAAAUGCUAGGCAAAGUCAAUGAUGCUAAUUUUACAUUAAAAGGGCACAUUGACUCUUAAAUUUUCUAAAUUUUCUAUGAAAUUAAA
Molecule: long non-coding RNA, 1880 nt
Organism: Brienomyrus brachyistius
Lineage: Eukaryota; Metazoa; Chordata; Actinopteri; Osteoglossiformes; Mormyridae
Exons: 3
Source: RefSeq, a predicted model, not a curated record